Molecule: ribosomal RNA, 458 nt
Filed under: uncultured bacterium
Lineage: Bacteria
Description: partial 16S ribosomal RNA
Rfam family: Bacterial small subunit ribosomal RNA
Source: RNAcentral
CCUACGGGAGGCAGCAGUGGGGAAUAUUGCACAAUGGGGGAAACCCUGAUGCAGCGACGCCGCGUGAGUGAAGAAGUAAUUCGUUACGUAAAGCUCUAUCAGCCGGGAAGAAACACUGACCUUACGGUCAGCAGACGGUACCUGAGUAAGAAGCCCCGGCUAACUACGUGCCAGCAGCCGCGGUAAUACGUAGGGGGCAAGCGUUAUCCGGAUUUACUGGGCGUAAAGGGAGGGUAGAAGGUGCGCCAAGUCUGGACGGAAAUGCCGCAGCUUAACUGCGGAACUGCUUUGGAAAAUGGCGAACUAGAGAGCGGGAGGGGUAAGCGGAAUUCCUAGGGGAGCGGUGAAAUGCGUAGAUAUUAGGAGGAACACCGGUGGCGAAGGCGGCUUACUGGACCGUAACUGACGUUGAGGCUCGAAAGCGUGGGGAGCAAACAGGAUUAGAUACCCCUGUAGUC